CAUACCAGUUGCUGUGAUAAGUGCUGUAGAUAAAGAAAUAAAAGCAAAGACAUAAAAUUCUAGUCAGAAAAGACAGACGUAUAAUUGGAUGAUACCUAACGCAAACCUGCUUUUUUGAUGAGUGAGCCAGUUGAAGAGAUGACAGCAUGAGCAAAGGCACAGAGGCAAGACAGAGCUUACGUUUUAGGGAACCAGCAAGUGUGAUGGGUUAGGUGGGGUGGACUGCCUAGAGUUGAAGGUAGACAUGCAAGCAGUGUCUAGUUUAUGGAAAGGUUGUGAGUCAACCGUAGUAACACAAAUGAUUUUUGAAGGCUUCGAGGAGUUGCUGAGGGGUUUUAAUGAGGGAAAGGCAAUAUCCAAGGUGAAAAAUGAUGAUGCCUAGGUAAAAGAGGGGUCAUGUGAAGAAGGUGAGGGGAGAGGAAAUAAAAAGACAUUGGGAAGGUAGUAUUGAACGGACUUCAUGACAAAUUGAAUGUGGGAAUAAAAUAAGGGAAGGUAUAGAAGAUGAAUUGAGUUUCUGACUGGAUUAUUUGGGGGACACCUAAAUGGAAACAUCUAAUGGGCAGUUUGUUCUUUAUGUGUGGCGAUCGGAAUGAUUAAGAGUCAUCAUUCUGAGGGAAACAGAACUAUCAUAGAAUCUGCACAAAGUGAGAAGAGAACAAAGGAUGGAACAAAGAGGGUCCCAGUGAUUAAGAGAGAGCUGGGAGAGAAACCCGAAGGAAGAGAGGGGCACAUAUUCCCUUGAAAUUUGGUAAAGCCAUGGGAUUUGCUUUGAUGAAUUAAAUGUUAGAACACUUCUAGGAAGAAGUGUUUAAACGCUGGUAUUUAUUUCUCCAAUGUCAUCUUUCCCUGUCACCAUGAUCUUGGAAGCAUGAGCUUAUAAGACGUGCCAUAAGCUUGAAACAGCUUCUAAUGUUUUCAUUUCAUAGUGCUGCUCUCCAGGUCCUUUAGAAGAAGUCUUUCCUCAGUCCAAGGCACAUGUCUUUCUCCACCUCUUCUGGUUUGAGAAAAUGAUUGGGAAGACAGAUUUUUCUCUACAUUGUAUUGAGGAAAGGGGAGGAAGCAGGAAGGAUUUCAAAUUUUGGAUGCCACAGAGAAAGAUGUACUGCCAACUGUUUUUGUAAGCAAAGAAAGAUAAAGCCCUUCAUGGAAAACUAAUGAAGAAAUUUCCUUUCCAAAUUGUGAGAAAAUGAGCUUCAUAUAUGCCUUCCCUAAGGAAAGAAAAAAGAUGACUUCAUUUAUAUCCUACCUUGUUUGAGAGGAUUAAGACAGCUUUAUGAUGACUUAAAAAGGGUCUUUUCUGUCAUGCCCUUAGUAUUAGAUGUUGAAAGCCAUUUUUUGUCAAUAUUACCAAUGUUCGUUUAUUGCAGCCAGAUGCCAGCUCUGCGGUGAUGGGUAGACUAAAGGAGCUUAUAAAAGUGGAAACCUAAAAUUCCAAGUUACAGAGUUAAAGAAACUGUCCAUGGGAUGGGUGGUGUAGGUUGUUCCAUGAAGAAAACACCAGAUAUUUGUCUUAGUUAAAAAGAUGAGUGGAUAUGUAAAAUGUGGACAACAGAUAAGAGGCAGAGGAGAGAAUAAGGAAGGAGAAAACACUGGAAAAGGACAAGUAUCUUUUAGAGGUGACAAACGGACAUGUCUUAAAGGAAGUCUUCAAAUAAGGAGGUAAGGGGAGAAUUUUGAAAGCAUUGUGCCAGGCUUUGUAAAUGAGCUAUAUUUAAUAUUUUUAGGAAUAUAGCAUGUGGUGGCAAAAGUUUACUCAAUUAAUACAGUCUUUAGGGAAGAUGAAUCCAACUGCAGGAGUCAGGACAACCGCAUCAAGUUAAGAAGAGAAGCAGGCAGAGUAAGGAGGAUGCAGUGGCAGUGAUGACAGUGAAAGGUAAGAGGUCUGACAACCUAUAAGGUUGGCAGGAAAAUCAGACAGGGAGCGAAGAAAUGAAAGGGGCAUUGUGAAUGGCGUCAAAAAGAAAAAGAAACGUGACAGCACUUGGUGAGAAAAUAGAUAUAUCUGAAGAAGCAGGUCUCUCAGAGACUUGAUCUUGUGUGUUUUGCUACCUUGCCUAUUGCCUUCAAGGGCUUCUUACAAAUCAUGUAGGACACUGAGCAUCACCUCUUUGAUAUAGUAAUGAUGAUUUAGAGCGAUAGGCUCCAAGUAACCAUAACAGAAACAACAUCAACAGUAACAACCACCUAAACUAAAUCUUUAUUGAAACAAAUGUCCUGUCGUGCAAGUUUCAUCAUAGUGCUUACACAGAAGAAUUAUGGAAAGACUGAUCUAGUUUUGUUUUGUUUUGUUUUUUUCCACAUGAAGACAGAUACUUCUGGA
This is a non-coding RNA of Kogia breviceps (pygmy sperm whale), 2323 nucleotides long. The record is from RefSeq and is a predicted model, not a curated record. NCBI's taxonomy places the organism in Eukaryota, Metazoa, Chordata, Mammalia, Artiodactyla, Physeteridae.